GUAGGGAAUAUUGCGCAAUGGACGAAAGUCUGACGCAGCGACGCCGCGUGAGUGAUGAAGGCCUUAGGGUCGUAAAGCUCUGUUGAAUGGGAAGAAAAAAAUGACGGUACCAUUCGAGGAAGGACCGGCUAACUUCGUGCCAGCAGCCGCGGUAAUACGAGGGGUCCUAGCGUUGUUCGGAAUCAUUGGGCGUAAAGGGUGUGUAGGUGGCCAUGUAAGUCAGGUGUGAAAGCCCCGGGCUCAACCCGGGAAGUGCACUGGAUACUGCGUGGCUUGAGUACCGAAGAGGGUAGUGGAAUUCCAGGUGUAGUGGUGAAAUACGUAGAUAUCUGGAGGAACACCGGUGGCGAAGGCGGCUACCUGGUCGAGUACUGACACUGAGACACGAAAGCAUGGGGAUCAAACAGGAUUAGAUACCCGAGUAGUCC
This 428-nucleotide ribosomal RNA is filed under the name uncultured bacterium. RNAcentral describes it as "partial 16S ribosomal RNA". It matches the Rfam family "Bacterial small subunit ribosomal RNA", at positions 354 to 796 of the family's 1533-position model. The record is from RNAcentral.